RNAcentral lists this non-coding RNA (132 nucleotides) under uncultured Ochromonas. The record is from RNAcentral. Lineage: Eukaryota; Chrysophyceae; Chromulinales; Chromulinaceae.
AGGAAGAAAGAAUCACCAAAGAGAGAGAAGAUGAUGAUAAUGGCUAUGAUGAAAGCUUUGUUCUUUGUUGCUUAUUUCUCGAUCUUUGUCUUCAUUUGUUUUUCAAUCCUUUUCCAUUAUAUUUAUUGAUUU